GUCCACGCUGUAAACGAUGGGCGCUAGGUGUAGGGGUUUUAAUCCCUCUGUGCCGCAGCUAACGCAUUAAGCGCCCCGCCUGGGGAGUACGGCCGCAAGGUUAAAACUCAAAGGAAUUGACGGGGCCCGCACAAGCGGUGGAGCAUGUGGUUUAAUUCGACGCAACGCGAAGAACCUUACCUGGGCUUGACAUCUGGGGAAUCUCAGGGAAACCUGGGAGUGCGGAGCAAUCCGAGCCCCAAGACAGGUGCUGCAUGGCUGUCGU
RNAcentral lists this ribosomal RNA (265 nucleotides) under uncultured bacterium. RNAcentral's name for it is "partial 16S ribosomal RNA". It matches the Rfam family "Bacterial small subunit ribosomal RNA", at positions 793 to 1055 of the family's 1533-position model. The record is from RNAcentral.